RNAcentral lists this microRNA precursor (61 nucleotides) under Gekko japonicus. RNAcentral describes it as "Gja-Mir-7-P4_pre stem-loop". It matches the Rfam family "mir-7 microRNA precursor family", at positions 16 to 77 of the family's 91-position model. From Rfam's summary of the family: This family represents the microRNA (miRNA) precursor mir-7. In this case the mature sequence comes from the 5' arm of the precursor. The extents of the hairpin precursors are not generally known and are estimated based on hairpin prediction. Lineage: Eukaryota; Metazoa; Chordata; Lepidosauria; Squamata; Gekkonidae. The record is from RNAcentral.
UGGAAGACUAGUGAUUUUGUUGUUUUGACAAAGAGGAGACAACAAAUCACAGCCUGCCAUC